AACCGAGCGUAUUUCGUAUACAUACGCGGAUAUUAUCGAGUGCAAAGUAAAAAUGAUUCCUGAUCGCUUGUUUAAAUAAAUACAUAUUUCUACUACUAAUGAAAAUAUUUUUUUCAGAACAUUAAUUAAUUAUAUAAAAAAAAAAGUAAAAUAACAAUAAUACCGAACACCUAGGAAAAUUCAAAACGGAAAAUCUGCAAUCGAAAGCUCAAAC
Molecule: long non-coding RNA, 214 nt
Filed under: Mytilus galloprovincialis (Mediterranean mussel)
Lineage: Eukaryota; Metazoa; Mollusca; Bivalvia; Mytilida; Mytilidae
Source: RNAcentral